AGGGUCGAUUUAAAAAUAAAACCAAAAAGUGCUGUCAAGAAUCUAUCUCAAUGCUUUGUCGUGUCGAGGAAAAUUGUAACAAAAUGCCUGCCACGGACCUACAAUACGUAGGGUGUAUUUGCGAUGAUAUAUGACAUGUUCACUGUCAUCGUCAAGCUGUGUAGCUUGAUUAGAAUAAAGAGCAGAGUGUCGCGAUAAUAUAGUGCGACGAAAGGCCAUUAUUAUGAACGGUGGAUGGAUAUGGAUUUGUUGGACUCGCAUAGAAAAAGUAAAAACAAGGCAGGAAUUUUCCGAGUUUCAACAAUGAAGUUUCAUUCAUCACAUUCUAUGGUUCUUUAUACCGUUGCAUAAUAAUGACGACUCACUGCUAGAAGCUUUAUGCUUCAACAAACUUAUUGCAAUGUAAAAGUUGUGAUAUAAUAAAUCAGUAGCGACCUC
Molecule: unclassified non-coding RNA, 438 nt
Filed under: Entomobrya nivalis
Lineage: Eukaryota; Metazoa; Arthropoda; Collembola; Entomobryomorpha; Entomobryidae
Description: sequence contains 5.8S rRNA gene and ITS2
Source: RNAcentral